UUUCCGACGUUUCCGUGUUGACAUUGAGUUAUAUCAACACGGCUCUUAGCCAAUCAGCGUUCAGAAUUUACAAAUGCUAUCUUAUAAGAGGGUCCUGAAGGGGUAAAAUGGGAACUGGGAUUUGCUUAUUUUUGGGUGGGAAAAUGGGAUUUCAUGCACUGGGACUGGGAUUCAUCAGCAAAAAAACAAUAGAAAAUGGGAAUGGGAUUAAGAUUAGAGCAGGACAGCCACUGAGAUGAUGGGAUUUCUGCUCUGGGACAAUGGGAUUUAGUCAAAAUUUGGGCUGGGAAAUGGGAAUACGAC
Molecule: non-coding RNA, 303 nt
Organism: Paramuricea clavata
Lineage: Eukaryota; Metazoa; Cnidaria; Anthozoa; Malacalcyonacea; Plexauridae
Source: the annotation of a GenBank genome assembly